Long non-coding RNA from Salvia splendens (bonfire salvia), 641 nucleotides. RefSeq lists it as uncharacterized. The record is from RefSeq and is a predicted model, not a curated record. The transcript has 2 exons. NCBI's taxonomy places the organism in Eukaryota, Viridiplantae, Streptophyta, Magnoliopsida, Lamiales, Lamiaceae.
UACAAGUUUUCUUCUCCCAAAAACACUCUAAUAUGCGUAGUUCUUCCAAUCCUCUCGAUUACCAUCGUUAAGAAUGAGGAGUGGCACAACCUACCCAAUCUGGAAAUCAAUGGUUACGAUGAUCGAUGAUGAUGAUGAUGAUGGCCUCUCCAUUUCCAUGAUGUAGAGGGCAGAGCUGGAAUGAUGUCGGAAAUGGAAAGCAACGUCAAGAGACAUUCCACGUUGACUCCACACGCGCGCGAGCCGUUGUAGCAGAUUCAUGAAAUUCAGAUUUAAAUGAGGAAAAGAGGUGGUUUUUGACAUUCCAUUACCAUACUCCACAAAAUCCAGAGAAAACGACCAUGAAUAAAAAGGAGAAAAACUACAACCAACAACAUGAAUCUUACAGUUUGGUGUAAUUUAUCAGCAUUAAUUAGUAGUAUGUUGAAUUGAUAGAAUAAUUUAUUGGAAUUCUGUAUUUAAUCUGUUCAUACGUAAAUUGGAUUGCUUAUAUGUACACUAUUUUAUUAUGCAGUAUACUGAUUUGCCUCUUACCACUUUAACAUGAAAAUUGGAUAAAUGUAUAGAUGAGAUACUUGUAUGUACUACCAUGUUUAAUUACAGAUAGAUUCAUAAUACUUAGUUGUGAAAGAUUCUUUGAA